Molecule: transfer RNA, 86 nt
Filed under: Planctomycetales bacterium
Lineage: Bacteria; Pseudomonadati; Planctomycetota; Planctomycetia; Planctomycetales
Description: tRNA-Leu
Rfam family: tRNA
About the family: Transfer RNA (tRNA) molecules are approximately 80 nucleotides in length.
Source: RNAcentral
UGCGGGUGUGGCGGAAUUGGCAGACGCGCUAGGUUGAGGGCCUAGUUGGAGAAAUUCAGUGGAGGUUCAAAUCCUCUCGCCCGCAG